This 2382-nucleotide ribosomal RNA is filed under the name Triticum aestivum (bread wheat). RNAcentral describes it as "partial small subunit ribosomal RNA". Lineage: Eukaryota; Viridiplantae; Streptophyta; Magnoliopsida; Poales; Poaceae. The record is from RNAcentral.
AUGGAAUCCAGAGCAACGAGCACCAAAGCUCGUCUCCUCUUGCUCCUGCUACUGGCAUGCACAUGCGGCGCCGUCUCCCCCUCAGGCGAAGCUGCUGAAGCCAAAGCACUUCUGACAUGGAAGUCCACCCUGAGGAUCUCCGACGCAAACGCCUCUUCUCCGCUCUCGUCAUGGUCGCCGGCCAGCUCCCCGUGCGGUUCUUGGUCCGGCGUCGCGUGCAACGCGGCCGGCCGUAUCGCCGCGCUCACGGUUCCGGGGGCCGGGGUCGCAGGCACGCUCGACGCCUUGGAUUUCUCCGCGUUGCCGGCGCUCGCAAGCCUCAACCUCAGCGGCAACCGUCUCGCGGGCGCCAUCCCCGCCAACGUCUCCCUCCUGGCCUCGCUUGCCUCGCUCGACCUUUCCAGCAACAACCUCACCGGCGGCAUACCGGCGGCGCUCGGGACGCUGCGCGGCCUGCGAGCUCUUGUCCUCCGGAACAACCCGCUCGGUGGGCGGAUCCCGGGCUCCCUCGCCAAGCUCGCCGCGCUGCGGCGGCUGGACCUCCAGGCCGUGCGGCUCGUGGGUACGAUUCCGCCGGAGCUGGGGCGCCUGAGAGCUCUCACCUUCUUGGACCUGUCCAGGAACAGCCUCUCCGGCGAGCUGCCACCGUCCUUCGCCGGGAUGGCCAAGAUGAGGGAGCUCUACCUGUCAAGAAACAACCUCUCGGGUGUUAUUCCUCCUGAGCUCUUCACUAGCUGGCCUGAGGUAACUCUCUUCUUCCUGCACUACAAUUCGUUCACCGGAAGCGUACCGCCGGAGAUCGGCAGAGCAGGCAAGCUGCGGUUCUUGGCGCUCGAGGCCAACAACCUUACCGGCGUCAUCCCGGCGGAGAUCGGCAGCUUGACGGGCCUCGAGUUUCUGGAUUUGGGGAGGAACUCGCUAUCCGGACCGAUCCCUGCUUCUAUCCGAAGCCUCAAGCUGCUUGUCGGCAUGGCUCUGUCCUUCAACGGCCUCACUGGCUUGGUGCCCCCUGAAAUUGGCAGUAUGUCCUUACUACAAAACCUUGAUCUCAACGGUAACCAGCUCGAGGGUGAGCUACCUGCAACUAUUUCAUCGCUCAAAGAUCUCUACAGUCUUGACUUCAGUAACAACAAGUUCACCGGUACAAUCCCAAGCAUUGGCAGUAAGAAAUUGCUCUCAGCUGCCUUUGCCAACAAUAGUUUCUCGGGGAGCUUCCCCCGGACAUUUUGCGAAAUCGCAUCAUUGGCACUGUUGGAUUUAUCUAGCAACCAACUGUGGGGUGAGCUCCCUAACUGCCUAUGGGACUUGGAGGAUCUAUUGUUCCUAGAUUUGUCAAGCAAUGGUUUCUCCGGGAAGGUUCCGUCAUCUGGGUCUGCUAAUUUAUCGUCAUUGGAAUCAUUGCAUUUGGCAAAUAACAGACUCACAGGUGAGUUCCCAACUAUACUGAAGAAGUGUAAGCAGCUCAUUGUCCUUGAUAUCGGUGGCAACUACUUUUCCAGCCAAAUUCCAUCAUGGAUAGGCUCAAAUCUUCCUUUCCUGAGGAUUCUCCGGCUGCGGUCGAACUCGUUUAGUGGUAGCAUUCCCUGGCAACUGUCACAGCUCUCCCAUCUCCAGCUACUCGACCUAGCUGCCAACCGAUUUUCAGGUCCCAUGCCGCAGGGUUUGCUUGCCAAUUUAACAUCCAUGAUGAAACCACAGACAGAGUUCAACAUGACUUCACUAAUCCACCAUCAAGUUCUACAUCUAGAUGGUGCGAUGAAUUUUGUCGACCGGAUCGAUGUCAACUGGAAGAUGAAGAGCUACACAUUCCAAGGGACGAUUGCACUUAUGGUAGGUAUCGAUUUAUCAGGCAAUUCGUUCUCUGGUGAGAUUCCAACUGAGCUAGCAAAUCUCUGGGGCCUCCGGUUUCUGAAUCUGUCAAGGAACCAUUUGUCAGGCCACAUCCCUGAAAACAUUGGUGAUCUCAAACUGCUGGAAUCCCUUGACUGCUCGUGGAAUGAAUUAUCUGGUGCAAUUCCUUCGAGCAUCUCGAAACUGCCGUCUCUUAGCUCUCUCAGUCUCUCCAAUAAUAAUCUCUCUGGCGAGAUACCAACUGGGAAUCAGCUCCAAACACUGGACGACCCUUCCAUUUACAACAACAAUUCUGGGCUUUGCGGAUAUCCAUUGGUCGCAUGCUCCAAAGGUUCUUCGGGUACUGUGGAAACACUGGACGUAGAACUUGAAACCGUGUAUUUCUACUACUCAAUAAUUGCUGGACUCGUCCUUGGAUUUUGGCUGUGGUUGGGGUCUCUAGUUUUCUUCAAGACGUGGAGGACUUAUGUUUUCUGUUGUGUGGAUCGCCUUCAAGAUAAGGUUAUGAAAAGACGCAGAGCGUUUCGUUAA